Chelonia mydas (Green sea turtle) is the source of this 917-nucleotide long non-coding RNA. RefSeq lists it as uncharacterized. The transcript has 2 exons. The record is from RefSeq and is a predicted model, not a curated record. NCBI's taxonomy places the organism in Eukaryota, Metazoa, Chordata, Testudines, Cheloniidae.
UUUGUUCUUGUAGAAAUAGUAAGUAUAAGCUAGGGUGGGGGAGGAAAGCUUAUUGCUCUCUGGACAGAGUCUUUGGCUGUACAUAUUUGUCCUUGUGGUUAAUUUCAUCUGGAAAAUAGGCUGAGGGAAAUAAUCCUUUUGAAGUGGAGUCAUGACCAACAAUGGCAACACACAGGCAAAGCAGCAUCAGCAACAGGAAAUCCAUCUCCUAGAGAUGUUACAGGUGGGCCUAAAUCUCAGCAAUGCAAACCUGUGGAGUGCAGGUUGAUGUAGUAUAGAGCCUUGUGUAUGAAUCAACCCAGAUGCUUGAACUACAGAGGAUGAAAAGAGGAGAAAGGAUGGGGGCCCCAGGACCAUUAGUAAUCCACAACUGUUGACAAACCAUAAAGCAGAAAAAAUGGUGGCUUUCAGCUGGCAGCCAUGUCCCCUUGGAGAGAAUGUUGGCUUGCAAAGGCUGCUGUAGCAUGGUAACCCUGGCUGUUUCCUCUCACCCAGGGUAGCAUUGCUGCCCCAAAAGCAGGCCAUGAAAAAUAGAUUCCCUAGAGGCAAUAGACAUUCAUAUUUUUUUGUUUUUAAGGCCAGAAGGGUCCAAAAGAUGAUCUAAUCUGAUUUUCUGUAUUUCCCUUGGUGAGGAAAUAUUUGAGAACCAGCCAUCAAAUGGUGUGGAAGCUUAGUUCUUCAGCUGGCUGAUCCUUUUCUCAUUAUCCAUUAGCUGUGUAUACCCUUCUUUUAUGGCAGACAAGAGGCUAACAAAUUCUGUUCACAGGCCUUCAGUUGGAAAAGUGUAGGGUUCUAACUAACCUUAUUUUCCUGUAACUAAGCCUCUUUGUUAAGCCACAAUGGUCUACCUGGCAUCUGCUGACUGGCUAGAACCAGAAAGGGUAUUAAUGUCUAUAUAUUAAACAUUUCUCGUCAAA